RNAcentral lists this ribosomal RNA (274 nucleotides) under uncultured bacterium. RNAcentral's name for it is "partial 16S ribosomal RNA". It matches the Rfam family "Bacterial small subunit ribosomal RNA", at positions 523 to 796 of the family's 1533-position model. The record is from RNAcentral.
CUACGUAGGGUGCAAGCGGUAAUCGGAAUUACUGGGCGUAAAGCGUGCGCAGGCGGUCUUGUAAGACAGGUGUGAAAUCCCCGGGCUUAACCUGGGAACUGCACUUGUGACUGCAAGGCUUGAGUACGGCAGAGGGGGAUGGAAUUCCGCGUGUAGCAGUGAAAUGCGUAGAUAUGCGGAGGAACACCGAUGGCGAAGGCAAUCCCCUGGGCCUGUACUGACGCUCAUGCACGAAAGCGUGGGGAGCAAACAGGAUUAGAAACCCUAGUAGUCC